AGUCGAAGCCCGUUAAUGGGUGACGGCGUACCUUUUGUAGAAUGAACCGGCGAGUUACGAUCGUAUGCGAGGUUAAGUUGAAGACACGGAGCCGCAGCGAAAGCGAGUCUGAAUAGGGCGAAAUGAGUAUGCGGUCGUAGACCCGAAACCGUGUGAUCUACCCAUGUCCAGGGUGAAGGUCAGGUAACACUGACUGGAGGCCCGAACCCACGUAUGUUGAAAAAUGCGGGGAUGAGGUGUGGGUAGGGGUGAAAUGCCAAUCGAACACGGAGAUAGCUGGUUCUCUCCGAAAUAGCUUUAGGGCUAGCCUCAAGGAAAGAGUACUGGAGGUAGAGCACUGAUUGAACUAGGGGCCCUCAUCGGGUUACCGAAUUCAGUCAAACUCCGAAU
This 390-nucleotide ribosomal RNA is filed under the name Aequorivita lutea. Its description in RNAcentral is "Aequorivita sp. q18 partial 23S ribosomal RNA". It matches the Rfam family "Bacterial large subunit ribosomal RNA", at positions 572 to 961 of the family's 2925-position model. Lineage: Bacteria; Pseudomonadati; Bacteroidota; Flavobacteriia; Flavobacteriales; Flavobacteriaceae. The record is from RNAcentral.